UACGAAGGAUGCAAGCGUUAUCCGGAUUUAUUGGGUUUAAAGGGUGCGUAGGCGGACUUAUAAGUCAGUGGUGAAAUCUCGUUGCUUAACAACGAACGUGCCAUUGAUACUGUAGGUCUUGAGUAUAGAUGCCGUUGGCGGAAUGUGUCAUGUAGCGGUGAAAUGCAUAGAUAUGACACAGAACACCGAUUGCGAAGGCAGCUGACGAAACUGUAACUGACGCUGAGGCACGAAAGCGUGGGGAUCAAACAGG
RNAcentral lists this ribosomal RNA (253 nucleotides) under uncultured bacterium. RNAcentral describes it as "partial 16S ribosomal RNA". It matches the Rfam family "Bacterial small subunit ribosomal RNA", at positions 524 to 776 of the family's 1533-position model. The record is from RNAcentral.